AGCACCCCCAGCACCAUCCACUGUCUGUCGGCCACUUCCCCAGGCCAAGAUCCUGCCUACCUUUCAACUUUGUCCACAAAUUCAACGCCUCCCUCACACUGGCCAGUUGAGGCCCAGCUUGGCCUCUAGCAGAUGUCUCUGGACUUAGCUAUCGCCUUGUACUGGCCUUGAGUCUGGGCCCAGGCAACAGGCCCAAGCUUUGCCCCCGGCAGCCUUUUUUUUUUUUUUUUUUAGUGCAGUUUUGCUUUUGUUACCCAGCCGCGAGUGCAAUGGUGUGAUCUCGGCUCACCUCAACUUCCGCCUCCUGUGUUCAGGCAAUUCUCCUGCCUCAACCUCCUGAGUAGCUGGGAUUACAGGCAUGCGCCACCAUGCCCAGCUAAUUUUUUGUAUUUUUUUUUUUUCCUUCCUCGCACCGGCUUUUCUCGGCCCAGCUUGCCUCUCAUAAAGCCUCGUUCAGCUCCUGCAUCCCAGCAGCCUGUCCAGGCCUGAAGCUUCCUCUCCGGGCCUGGCCUCUCCAGGCCUGGCUCCUGCCAGCUCUAAGCCCCUCCGGGUUGAGUGUCCGCCUCUCAGUGGACCCCCCAGACCCAGCUCGUGGCCUCAUUGUGGGCUCCGCUCAGACCAGCUCCUGCCUCUGUGGCAGCCUGUCUCCACAGGCCCAGCUCCUGGCCUCCCAGUGGCCCCCUCGGGCCAAACCACUGCUCCAGACUGCCCUCUUAGACCCAGCAUUGGCCUGGUGGCGUCCUCUUGGGCUGCAGAAUGUCUUCAGAUAGGCCCCUCGGGGCUCAGCACCUCCUCUCGGCAGCGUCUACAGGCCCAACUUCUGAAUUUGCCUCACAGCAACCUCUGUGGACUCGGCUCCUGCCCAGCUCCCGACGGCCUUUGUAGGCCCGCAUGCUCAGACCAUCGACUCAGGCUCUCCAGGACUACCCGGCUCAUGCCUCAUGCUGGCCUCUCCGGGCUCACCUUCUGCCCACCCAGGGUGCCUAUAGGCCCCAGAUGUUCCAGAGUUGGCUUCUCCAGGCCCAGCUCCAGACUCCUCCUAUUGGCCUCUGCAGGUUCAAGCAUUGGGUUCUCAAUUCAGUCUCUCCAGGCCCAGCUUCAGUCCUCCUGGCGUCUCCUUUCCAUGGGUGCAAAACAUCACGUGGGCCCUUCUAGGGCCAGCUCGUGCCUCCCAAAGGCCCCCUGGGCUUACCUCCUGCCUCCCAUCAGCCUCUUCUGGAUGCCUACCCUCUGCCUCUGUACUGGUGGCCUCUCCAGGCCUGGAUCCUCCUCCUGGCCACAUCUACGGGCCCAAGCUUUGCCCCCGGCAGCCUUUUCUUUUGAAACGCAGUUCUGCUCUUGUUACCCAGCCGCGAGUGCAAUGGUGUGAUCUCGGCUCACCUCAACGUCCACCUCCUGAGUUCAGGCAGUUCUCCUGCCUCAACCUCCUGAGUAGCUGGGAUUACAGGCAUGCACCACCAUGCCCAGCAAAUUUUUUGAAUUUUUUUUUGUUUCCUUCCUCCCACCGGCUAUUCUCAGCCCAGCUUGCCUCUCAUAAACUCUCUGUUCAGCUCCUGCAUCCCAGCGGCCUGUCCAGGCCCGAAGCUUCCUCUCCAGGCCUGGCCUCUCCAGGCCUGGUUCCUGCCAGCGCUAAGCCCCUCUGGGUUGAGCAUCCGCCUCUCAGUGGACCCCCCAGACCCAGCUCGUGACCUCAUCGUGGGCUCCGCUCAGACCAGCUCCUGCCUCUGUGGCAGCCUGUCUCUGCAGGCCCAGCUCCUGGCCUCCCAGUGGCCCCCUCGGGCCAAACCACUGCUCCAGACUGCCCUUUUAGACCCAGCAUUGGCCUGGUGGCCUCCUCUCGGGCUGCAGAAUGUCUUCAGAUAGGCCCCUCGGGGCCCAGCGCCUCCUCUCGGCAGCGUCUACAGGCCCAACUUCUGAAUUUGCCUCACAGCAACCUCUGUGGACUCGGCUCCUGCCCAGCUCCCGAUGGCCUUUGUAGGCCCGAACGCUCAGACCAUCGACUCAGGCUCUCCAGGACUACCCGGCUCAUGCCUCAGGCUGGCCUCUCCGGGCUCACCUUCUGCCCACCCAGGGUGCCUGUAGGCCCCAGAUGUCCCAGAGUUGGCUUCUCCAGGCCCAGCUCCAGACUCUUCCUAUUGGCCUCUGCAGGUUCAAGCAUUGGGUUCUCAAUUCAGCCUCUCCAGGCCCAGCUUCAGUCCUCCUGGCAUCUCCUCCCCAUGGGUGCAAAACGUCAUCACGUGGGCCCUUCUAGGGCCAGCUCGUGCCUCCCAAAGGCCCCCUGGGCUCACCUCCUGCCUCCCGUCAGCCUCUUCUGGAUGCCUACCCUCUGCCUCUGUACUGGUGGCCUCUCCAGGCCUGGAUCCUCCUCCUGGCCACAUCUACGGGCCCAAGCUUUGCCCCCGGCAGCCUUUUUUUGUUUUUAUUUUGAAACGCAGUUUUGCUCUUGUUACCCAGCCGUGAGUGCAAUGGUGUCAUCUCGGCUCACCUCAGCCUCUGCCUCCUGGGUUCAGGCAAUUGUCCUGCCUCAGCCUCCUGAGUGGCUGGGAUUACAGGUAUGGGCCACCAUGCCCAGCUAAUUCUUAGUAUUUUUGUUUUUUUGAGAUGGAGUUUCGCUCUUGUUACCCAGGCUGGAGUAGAAUGGCAUGAUCUUGGCUCACUCCAACCUCCGUUUCCUGGGUUUAGGCAAUCCUCCUGCCUCAGCCGCCUGAGUAUAUGGGAUUACAGGCACGUGCCACCGUGUUCGGGUAAUUUUUUUUUUUUUUUUUUUUUUUUUUUUUUGAGACGGAGUUUCGCUUUUGUUACCCAGGCUGGAGUGCAAUGGUGCCAUCUCGGAUCACUGCAACCUCCGCCUCCUGGGUUCAGGCAAUUCUCCUUCCUCAGCCUUCUGAGUACCUAGGAUUAAGGCACACGCCACCAUGCCCGGCUAAUUUUUUGUAUUUUUAGGUGAGACGGGGUUUCACCAUGUUGACCAGGAUGGUCUCGAUCUCCUGAUCUCCUGAUCCACCCGCCUCUGCCUCCCAAAGUGCCGGGAUUACAGGCGUGAGUUACUGCGCCUGGUCCCCAGCAGCGUCUUUUGGCUCAGCUCCUGGCCAGCUCCCAGCGGCCUUUUGUCUGUCAACCCAAUGCUUUCUCAGGUGGGGCCUUCUGGGUGUCCCUUCUGUUGAGGACACCGGGAGGCAGAAGGGACGCCCGAAAGCCCCACCUGAAGAAGCUUCACGCCGACAGAUGAAAGGCCGCCAUGAGCUGGCGAGGAGCCGAGCCGAAAGAGGCUGCCAGGGGCAAAAUUGGGCCCGUAGACGUGGCCAGUAUGAGGAUCCAGGCCUGGUGAGGCUGCCAGUAGGGAGGUAUAGGCUGGGCCUCCUGGAGAGGCCACCUGAUGGGAAUCAGGAGCUGGGCCCCAGAGGGCCACUGGGAUGCAGGAGCUGGCCCUGGAGGGGACCACGUGAUGAUGUACUGCGCCCAGGUUGGGGGGUGCUGCCAGGAGGGCAGGAGCUGGACCUGCAGAGGCGGACUUCAUGACCCAGUGCUUGGGCCUCCCAAGGCCAGCGGGAGGACAAAGCAGGACUGGGCCUCAGGGCUGAGCUCUGGACUCCCCGCUGCCCCCACAGCCCCAGCUGCUGCCUGCUGGCUGCUUCCGCAGGCCAUCUUUCCUGCCUGCCUGCCUGCCUGCCUGCCUCCCUGCAUCUCGGCUGCAUCCACAGGCCCAGCGCCUCCCUCACACUGGCCAGUUGAGGCCCAAUUCAUGCCUCUGAAAGACGUCUCUGGAGCCAGCUAUCGCCUGGUGAUGGCCUCUACUCUGGGCGCAGGUCCUCCCUCGCACCAGCCUUUCUCAGCCCAGCUCCUGUCUUGUGAUGGACUCUCGCGUGCCAGCUCCUGUCCCCUGGCGGCCUGUCAGGGCCCAAAGCUUUCACUCCGGGCCCAGCCUCCCCACACUGGACUCCUGCCUGCGCUAGGCCCUCGGGCCCAGCCUCCGCCUCUCAGAGGACCCUUCAGACCCCGCUUCUGACUGUGGCAGCCUGUUUCCACAGGCCCAGACCCCAGCCUCCCAUUGGCCCCCUGGGGCCAAGCCAGUGCCUCCCAGUGGGCCCUGCCGGGCCCAGCGUUGGCCUUCUGGCAUCCUCUUCGUGUCCAGAACGUCUUCAGUCGGCCUCUCAGGACCCAGCGCCUCCUCGGCAGCGUCUACAGGCCCAACUUCUGAAUUUGCCUCGCAGCAACCUGUGUGGACUCGGCUCCUGCCCAGCUCCCGACGGCCUUUGUGGGCCUGAAAGCUCAGACCAUCGACUCAGGCUUUCCAGGACUACCCGGCUCAUGCCUCACGCUGGCCUCUCCGGGCUCACCUUCUGCCCACCCACGGUGCCUAUAGGCCCCAGAUGUCCCAGAGUUGGCUUCUCCAGGCCCGGCUCCACACUCCUCCUAUUGGCCUCUGCAGGCCUAAGCAUUGGCUUCUCAAUUCAGCCUCUUCAGGCCCAGCUUCAGUCCUCCUGGCAUCUCCUCCCCAUGGGUGCAAAACGUCAUCACGUGGGCCAUUCUAGGGCCAGCUCAUGCCUCCCAAAGGCCCCCUAGGCUUAGCUUCUGCUUUCCUUCAGCCUCUCCUGGACACCUAGCCUCUGCCUCUGUACUGGCGGCCUCUCCAGGCCUGGAUCCUCCUCCUGGCCAUGUCUCCGGGCCCAUGUUUUGCCUCCGGCAGCCUUUUUUUUUUUUUUUUGAGACGGAGUUUUGCUCUUGUUACCCAGGCGGGAGUGCAAUGGUGUGCUUUCAUCUCACCUCAACCUCCGCCUUUUGGGUUCAGGCAGUUCUCCUACCUCAGCCUCCUGAGUAGCUGGGAUUACAGGGAUGCACCACCAUGCCCAGUUAAUUUUUUGUAUUUUUUUUUUUUUUUUUUUGGAGACAGAAUUUUGCUCUUGUUACCCAGGCUGGAGUAGAAUGGCGCGAUCUCGGCUCACCGCAACCUCCGCCUCCUGGGUUCAGGCAAUUCUGCCUCAGCCUCCUGAGUAGCUGGGAUUACAGGCACCCGCCACUGUGCCCAGCAAUUUUUUUUCUUUUUUUUGAGAUGGAGUUUCGCUCUUCUUGCCCAGGCUGCAGUGCAAUGGCACGAUCUCAGCUCUCCGCAACCUCCACCUCCUGGGUUCAGGCAAUUCUCCUGCCUCAGCCUUCUGCAUAAUCUGGCAUUACAGGCACACGCCACCAUGGCCAGCUAAUUUUUUGUAUUUUUAGGUGAGACAGGGUUUCACCAUGUUGAUCAGGAUGGUCUCGAUCUCCUGACCUCAUGAUCCACCCACCUCGGCCUCCCAAAGUACCGGGAUUACAGGCGUGAGUUAUCACACCUGCUCCCCAGCAGCGGUUUUUGGCUCGGCUCCUGGCCAGCUCCCGGCGGGCUUUCGUCUGUCGGCCCAAAGCUGUCUCAGGUAAGGCCUUCCAGGCCUCCCUUUUGCCUCCCGGUGGCCUCAACAGAAGGGACACUUAGAAGGCCCCACCUGAGGAAGGUUCACACCAACAGACAAAAGGCUGCUGGGAGCUGGACUGGAGCCAAGCCAAAACAGGCUGCUGGGGGCAAAACUUGGGCCUGUAGAUGUGACCAGGAUGAGGAUCCAGGCCUGGUGAGGCUGCCAGUAGGGAGGCAGAGGAUGGGCCUCCUGGAGAGGCCACCUGAUGGGAAUCAGAAGCUGGGCCCCAGGGGGCCACUGGGAUGCAGGAGCUGGUUCUGGAGGGGACCACGUGAUGGUGUAUUGCACCCACGUUGGGCGGUGCUGCCAGGAGGGUAGGAGGUUGACCUGUUGAGGCGGACUUCAUGACCCACUGCUUGAGCCUCCCAAGGCCAGCGGGAGGACAAAGCAGGACUGGGCCCAAGGGCCAUGCUCUGGACUCGCCGCAGCCUCCCCAGCCCCAGCUGCUGCCUGCUGGCUGCUUCCGCAGUCCAAGAUUUUUCCUACCUGCCUGCCUGCCUGCAUUCCGGCUGCAUCCACAGGCCCAGCGCCUCCUUCACACUGGCCAGUUGAGGCCCAAUUCAUGCCUCUGAAAGACGCCUGUGGAGCCAGCUAUCACCUGGCGCUGGCCUCGACUCUGGGCGCACGUCCUUCGCACCGGCCUUUCUCGGCCUAGCUCACCUGUCAUGGACUCUCCCGGGUCAGCUCCUGUCCUCCGGCGGCCUGUCAGGGCCUGAAGGUUUCUCUCUGGGCCCAGCAUCCCCACACCGGGCUCCUGCCUGUGCUAGGCCCUUGGGCCCAGUUUCCGCCUCUCAGAGGACCCUUCAGACUCCGCUUCUGCCUUUGUGGCAGCCUGUUUCCACAGGCCCAGGCCCCAGCCUCCUCGUGGCCCCCUGGGGCCAAGCCAGUGCCUCCCAGGGGACCCUGCCGGGCCCAGCGUUGGCCUUCUGGCAUCCUCUUCGUGUCCAGAACGUCUUCAGGUCGGCCUCUCUGGGCCCCGCGCCUCCUCUCAGCAGCAUCUACAGGCCCAACAUGCGAAUUUUUCUUGCAGCAACCUCUGUGGACUUGGCUCCUGCCCAGCUCCCGAUGGCCUCUGUAGGCCCGAAAGCUCAGACUAUCGACUCAGGCUCUCCAGGCCCACCCGGCUCAUGCCUCAUUAGUGGCCUCUCCGAGCUCAGCUCCUGCCCUCCCAGGGCAUCUCCAGGCCCCAGACAUUCCCAAGUCGGCUUCUGCCAGCCCGGCUCUUGUUGCCUUUUCCUGCUGGCCAUGGGAGGCCCAGUAUUGGGUCCUGAAUUCAGCCUCUCCAGACCCAGCUCCUGCCCUCCUGGCAUCUCCUCAUGGGCACAAAACUUCAUCAGGUGGGCCCCUCCAAGUUGAGCUUCUGCCUCCCAAAGGCCCCGUGGGCCCAGCUUUUGCCUCCUGUCAGCCUCUUCGGGAGGUCCAGUGUAUGCCUCCUCUCUGGGGGACUCCCCAGAUCUGGAUCCUCCUCCUGGCCCUGUCUACCGGCCCGUCCUGCCUUCUGGCAGCUUCUUUUGGCUCGGCCCCUGGCCAGCUUCCCGCGGCCUUUCAUCUGUCAGCCCAAAGUGUUCUCAAGUGGGGCUUUCUAGGCUGCCAUUCUGCCUCCUGGUGGCCUUGACAGACCCUGCUACCGCCUGAUGUUGGCUGCUCCAGGCCAGCUCUGGACCUCCCGCAGCCUCCCCAGCCCCAGUUGCUGCCUGCUGGUGGCUUCCCCAGGCCAAGAUACUGCCUGCUUGCCUGCAUCCCGGCUGUGUCCACAGGCCUAGUUCCUCCCUGACACUGAUUCAUUGAGGCCCAGCUCAUGCCUGUGACAAACCUCUCCGGACCCAGCUUUCACCUCACGCUGGCCUCUAGUCUAGGCCCAGGUUCUCCCUCGCAGCGGCCUUCCUCAGCUGAGCUCGCCUAUCAUGGACUCUCCUGGGCCAGCUCCUGCCUCCUGGCGGCUUAUCCAGGCCCAAAGCUUCAUCUCCGGGCCCGGCCUCCUUAGGCCCGGCUCCUGCCUUUGCCAGGCCCCUCCGGGCCCGGCCUCCACUUUUCAAUGGACCCUCCAGGCCCAGCUUGUGGCAUUACUGUGGCCACUGCUCAGGCUUAGCUCCUGCCUCUGUGGCAGCCUUUAUUUUCAGGCCCUCCCCCAGCCUCCCCGUGUCCCCAUCAGACCAAGCUGGUGCCUCCCAGUGGCCCUGCCAGGCCCAGCAUUGGCAUUCUGGCAUCCUCUUUAUUCCCAAAAUGUCUUCAGGUCAGCCUCUUUAGGCCCAGCUCUUCCUCCCUGUUGUGUCUGGAAGCCCCAGUCUUUCCUUGCAAGAAGCAUCACAGGCCCAGCUUCUUCCCACCUCUUGGUCUUCCUUUCGUACACACUGGUGUCUCCAAGACCAUCUGCUUAGUCAUGUCUGCCUCUGAAGAUGCAACUUCUGUUUUGCUGUGGACUUUUUCACCUCAGUUCCUGCCUCACGAUGGCCUCUUCAGGCUCUUCUCCUGCGUCUUAAUGGACACUCAAGUCUCAUCUCCUCUCAUGGUGGCUUUUUCUGCAGUGCACGUGCAUUAUAAUGGCCUCUUCUUGAUCCAGCUGUAUAUGUCUUUGAUUCUCAACUGCAUCUAGAAUCCCAAAGCUUCCCUGGACUCUCAUGUGUUUAGUUCCUAGCAGUGUGCCUUGGCUAAAUGCCUAUGUCUACUUUUAAUCUUGAAAGUGUAUUUCUGACCGAUUUGUAGUAAAUUCUGCCUAUGUCAUUUUACAGUGUGUUCUGUUUUAUUUAAUGUCUCAUUGUUUUUCUUGUCUUCUGGGGGUUCAGAGCAGAUUAAGCCUCUGCUUUGUCUGUUUGUCUUUGCCCUGGACAUGGUAGCUGCUCAUUUCAGGUCUUGUUUUUUAUAUUUUUUCCUGUUAACUUUUAUCCUCUUGCUCUGUCACCCAGGCUUGGGUGUCAUCAUGUGAUCAUGGCUCCACUGCAGCCUUGGCCUUUUGGCCUUUACUGAUUUUCCCCAGUCAUCAUCUUCAGUAGCUGGGACUACAGGCAGACGUUGCCAUUUCUGACUAAAUUCUGGUUUGGUUUGAGAAGUUGGUUCUCUGUUGCUCAGGGUGGUCGUUUUUUUUUUUUUUUGAGAUGGAGUCUCACUCAGUUGCCCAGUCUAGAGUGCAGUGGCAGGAUCUCAGCUCAUUGCAGCCUUGGCCUCCUGGGUUCAAGUGAUUCUCCUACCUCAGCCUCCUGAGUAGCUGGGAUGAUAGGUGCGUGCCGCCAAGACCGGCUAAUUUUUGUUGUUGUAUCGGGACGAGCAUAGAAAACACCAAGACAAAAGUAUGCCCAAUUGCAGGGUUUAUUGCCGGCGACCACAGAGGACUCACGUCUGUCCAACCCGUGGCAGAGAAAGAAGGGUGACAAGACCUUUUUAUACCCGCAAAACCACCUUGGGAGUGGGGGUGAGGAGUGGGGAUGGGAUGAAAGUCUUCAGACAUUUCGGGGGCUGUAAAUCACCUCAUGGGCAGAGCGGAGGGUGAUGGGGCUCUGGACAGUCCAAGGGCCAGGCGACUUUUGUCAUUCCAAUUGCCACUUAAGUGGUUUACAGAAGUCAAGAUAAACAUUAGUUUCUAAACAUUAUUUGGGCAGGUGUGGGGUCCACAGAUUUUCUAGUUACUUUGCAUCAGGAUGGAAUUAUCUGGGGGUGCUUACUCUGGUCAUUACCGGUAAACAAAGGCCAGCAAUUCUGGCAGUUACAGAUAAGAGAAGGUAUGCAGCUUUACCUCUUUGCAUUCUGCAAAGUAAACUAGCAGUUUACAGAGGCCAAGGUUAGCAGUUAUUGUGAGGAGAAUGGAAACAGUUUUGUCUUUUAUAAAACGGCAGUGUACAGGUUCUAACUCUGGGCCAGCCAUAUCACAUUGUAUUGUUAAUAUAGAUGGGGUUUCACCAAGUUUUUCAGGUAAGCUGGUCUUAAACUCUUGGACAACAAUAAUCCUCUUUCCUGGGCCUCUCAAACUGCUGAGAUUAGAAACAUGAACCAUCAUCUAUGACCUGUCCUUUGCUUGCCAUGUACAACUAAUAAUUUACUUUUUGAUUAAUAUGCUAUGGUUAUAUACAUUUGUGAAUAUAUAGAUAUUUUAAUGUUUUCUGGGAUAUCAAUUUUUUUCUUUCUUUUUUGAGACAAGUUACUGCUUUGUCAUUCAGGCUGAAGUGCAGUGGUGUGAUCUCGGCUCACUGCAACUCCUGCCUUCUUGGCUUAAGUGAUCCUCCCACCUUGGCCUUCUGAGUAGAUGGGAGAGCUGCCAUGCCCAUCUAAUUUUUAUAUUUGUGUAGACACAGGGUCUCACCCAGCUUCAAACUCUUGGGCUCAACUGAUCCUCCCCACUCAACCUCCCACUGUGCUGGGAUUGCAAGUGUGAGGCACUACACCUGGUCUGCCAUUUUCUCUUUAUGGAUCAUUAAGGAUUUACCUUUUAGUGUACUAUAAACACAUGUAGAUAUGUGUGUAUAUAUUUAUAUGUGAAUAUUUGUGUGUAUAUCUUUUCAUAGCAUGCACACACACCCACCAUAAACAUUGUGAAAGAGAUAUUUGCAUACCCAGAAAUUGAUAAGCUUCUUCCAGCUUUUGAAAUGACCCUUAGCACAAAUAGGAAAGAAGUACAAAGUAUCAUUAUUAAUGACCAUGGACCAGGAUGACCAUGAGUCAAUUGUACUUGGCAGCUCGACCUUCUAGUGGAGCAUCUCAAAGGGCUUGAUGUAUCUGAACAUCAUGCCCUUUUGCAUUCAUUAGGUUGCUUUGUAAUUCUUACUUCUCUUGAAACCUCAUUGUAACCCUCAUCAGUGUGGAAUCAGAAACUAUUUUCCAAAUCUUAGCGAUAUGGAAUAACAGCUUUUGUAAGGAAAUAGUUAUUGCAUUUGGUUUGUUAUGACAAUUUCCUGGCCUAGGCAGAUGAAAUAUUGCAGGAGUGUGUGUGUGUGUGCGCGCACAUGUGCUUGUGGAUGCAUGCAUGCAUGCAUACAUUCUUGUACACAGAUGUGGAGACAGAAGUAGGGGGUUGAAUUUGAUAAAAGCAGAAAGUGUAGGCUGUUCGGAUGGGCACUUGUUUUGGCAGCAGCUGUGUAACUGUAACUCUAGAGUUAAGAAAUAAUUGUGUCAAUUUUCUCUCCCAGAAAAUAAAAUUAUAAUUUCUGCCUUGAUAUGUCAAUUAGGUGGUCCACUAUAGGCAAAAUAUCUUGUAUAUAAUAGGUGCUGAAUAAAUACUACUUUCUGUAGCACAUUCUUAAUUAGUACUUAAUUUUGAAAA
This is a non-coding RNA of Callithrix jacchus (white-tufted-ear marmoset), 10692 nucleotides long. The record is from RefSeq and is a predicted model, not a curated record. Lineage: Eukaryota; Metazoa; Chordata; Mammalia; Primates; Cebidae.